Molecule: ribosomal RNA, 504 nt
Filed under: uncultured bacterium
Lineage: Bacteria
Description: partial 16S ribosomal RNA
Rfam family: Bacterial small subunit ribosomal RNA
Source: RNAcentral
AUUGAACGCUGGCGGCAGGCCUAACACAUGCAAGUCGAACGGUAGCACAGAGAGCUUGCUCUCGGGUGACGAGUGGCGGACGGGUGAGUAACGUCUGGGAAACUGCCCGAUGGAGGGGGAUAACUACUGGAAACGGUAGCUAAUACCGCAUAACGUCGCAAGACCAAAGUGGGGGACCUUCGGGCCUCACACCAUCGGAUGUGCCCAGAUGGGAUUAGCUAGUAGGUGGGGGAAUGGCUCACCUAGGCGACGAUCCCUAGCUGGUCUGAGCGGAUGACCAGCCAGCCCGGAACUGAGACACGGUCCAGACUCCUACGGGAGGCAGCAGUGGGGAAUAUUGCACAAUGGGCGCAAGCCUGAUGCAGCCAUGCCGCGUGUAUGAAGAAGGCCUUCGGGUUGUAAAGUACUUUCAGCGGGGAGGAAGGCGGUGAAGUUAAUAACUUCACCGAUUGACGUUACCCGCAGAAGAAGCACCGGCUAACUCCGUGCCAGCCGCCGCCGUAA